Molecule: small RNA, 23 nt
Filed under: Arabidopsis thaliana (thale cress)
Lineage: Eukaryota; Viridiplantae; Streptophyta; Magnoliopsida; Brassicales; Brassicaceae
Description: Ath_wt_01364
Source: RNAcentral
AGCCCUUUGUCGCUAAGAUUCGA